GAACAGACAUACACUCUGUAGCAGAGAACAUUUAACAUUCAAACUACAAAUACAAAUAACAGGCUAUGUACACGAAUGUAGACACUGUAGACACAAUGUAGUGUGGCAACAAAACAACAUAUUUUAUUGUGAGAUUAUUAUUAAUCAUAUGAGAAGUGUUAUUCAGCAUUAAGACAUUUCAGAAAUGAAAUGGUUGGUUGGGAUAUGAGAUGAAUAGAGCAAUGUAACUUUAACAAUGGGAAUAGCUCAGUGGUUAAGAUGCUGGACCCUAAAUUGGAAGGACAUGAGUUCAAAGCCCUUAACUUUUAAUUGUUGGUCUGAAAACUAUUGUGAAAGUUUUAUAAACCAGCUUUCCACCCCCUUUAUCUUUAGGUUCAUAACUCAAAUUACAGGUGUCCAAACAGUCUCCAUAUAUAUGAGAAAUUAAUCCUUUUAACCUAAAUAUUUCAAAUUAGUCUUAUAUUUGAUAUAGACCAUUUCGACGAUGUAAACAAUAAGCACGUUGUGAUGAUACUGCGCAUGUGUGGUCCUAAAGCAUUUUCGUUGGCGCCAUUUUGAAACCACGAACCUUUUAGAACACAAUCACUAACACGUGAUUUUACAAUUUAGCUAAAACAGAAAAGCUAAUAUACAUACAACUUUACGUGCAGUACCGUAUACAGAUGUGUAUUUUCUGGUUGAGACCGAAAGCGAGAAAAGCGUCAUGCCUGCAGUAUUAUAUUUAGUCUGGAUGACUACAAUGACUUCCAUAGCGGAAAUUUUAGGAGAUCUUUGGAAACAUUGGAGAACUGGAGAUAAUACCGCAAGAACAGUGAUUGGAACCGUAUGUGCGAUAGUUGUGUGUGCGUGUGUGUGAGAGAGAGAUAAACCGAGUGUUGUGAUCUUCAGAGCUCCCUGUCGGUGUCCGAACUGCAGUGGUGAGAAACCGAUCAUCGGCAGAACAAAGCAAAGAACCCACGAUGGUAGUAGGUAGAACCAGAUUGGCCUGCUGUGCUUCUGGCUGCUUUUGAUGGACACUACACAAAUGUCCACAGACAGACUGGCCACUCUGGCUCCAGCAUGACAGAUAAGUGGACACAGCUGGACAGUCGGGACUAGUGGAUGCACACUGUCUGAUGAUUUACUCACAGCUCAGUGACAGGCUGAGGAGCAAGGGCCUGUCAACUUGCCGCUCUCUCAGAAAGAAACUCAAACCACAUGGAAGUAUGGGAGAUCCCCUUUCAUCUGCCACAUUUGAGGAACAUACAAACCCACCAGGUGGAUUGUUUUCCUCUACAAAUGCGAAGGGAUUUCUAUAAUACUUGUUGUGUUUUCAAUUUCACACUAAUAAAGCACAAUAAU
Silurus meridionalis is the source of this 1341-nucleotide long non-coding RNA. RefSeq lists it as uncharacterized. NCBI's taxonomy places the organism in Eukaryota, Metazoa, Chordata, Actinopteri, Siluriformes, Siluridae. The record is from RefSeq and is a predicted model, not a curated record. The transcript has 3 exons.